Molecule: unclassified non-coding RNA, 361 nt
Filed under: Bovista plumbea
Lineage: Eukaryota; Fungi; Basidiomycota; Agaricomycetes; Agaricales; Lycoperdaceae
Description: partial internal transcribed spacer region
Rfam family: Eukaryotic small subunit ribosomal RNA (bases 1-46)
Source: RNAcentral
AAGUCGUAACAAGGUUUCCGUAGGUGAACCUGCGGAAGGAUCAUUAUUGAAUAUUCUUGAUGGGUUGUAGCUGGCUCUCCGGAGCAUGUGCACGCCUGUCUUGACUUAAUUCAUCCACCUGUGCACUUUUUGUAGUCUUGGAGGUUGAGAGCGGUCGACUAUCGGAUGGCUGUUAUGGCCUUUUCGGAUGUGAGGAAUUGCUGAGUGCAAAAGCAUACAGCUCUUCUCAAAAUGACUCGCAAUACCUCUCCUUCAAGUACUAUGUAUUCAUAUACCACAUAGUAUGUUGUAGAAUGUGAUCAAUGGGCUUAUGGCCUAUAAUAAUGAAAUACAACUUUCAGCAACGGAUCUCUUGGCUCUC